Molecule: ribosomal RNA, 309 nt
Filed under: uncultured bacterium
Lineage: Bacteria
Description: bacterial SSU rRNA
Rfam family: Bacterial small subunit ribosomal RNA
Source: RNAcentral
GAUGAACGCUAGCGGCAGGCCUAAUACAUGCAAGUCGAGGGGCAGCAUGAGUACUUGUACUUGAUGGCGACCGGCGCACGGGUGCGUAACGCGUAUGCAACCUACCCUUUACUGGAGGAUAGCCCGGGGAAACUCGGAUUAAUACUCCAUAGUAUUAUCAGAUGGCAUCUGAAGAUAAUUAAAGAUUUAUUGGUAAAGGAUGGGCAUGCGUAUCAUUAGUUAGUUGGUGAGGUAACGGCUCACCAAGACUUCGAUGAUUAGGGGGCCUGAGAGGGUGAUCCCCCACACUGGUACUGAGAUACGGACCAG